GAUGAACGCUGGCGGCGUGCCUAACACAUGCAAGUCGAACGGACUCGAUUCUUAGGAUGAGAGUUAGUGGCGCACGGGUGAGUAACACGUAGGUGACCUACCCCAGAGCGGGGGACAACUUCUCGAAAGAGAAGCUAAUACCCCGUAUGUUCAAUCAUUCGUUUGAUUGAGUAAAGCUCCGGCGCUCUGGGAGGGGCCUGCGUCCGAUUAGCUAGUUGGUGGGGUAAUGGCCUACCAAGGCGAUGAUCGGUAGCUGGUCUGAGAGGACGAUCAGCCACACUGGCACUGACACACGGGCCAGACUCCUACGGGAGGCAGCAGUGAGGAAUAUUGCGCAAUGGGCGAAAGCCUGACGCAGCAACGCCGCGUGGAGGAUGAAGGCCUUCGGUCGUAACUACCUUUCUGGAGAAGAGACAAGGACGGUAGUCCCACGGAAUAAGUACUCGGCUAACUACGUGCCAGCAGCCGCGGU
This 472-nucleotide ribosomal RNA is filed under the name uncultured bacterium. RNAcentral's name for it is "bacterial SSU rRNA". It matches the Rfam family "Bacterial small subunit ribosomal RNA", at positions 28 to 521 of the family's 1533-position model. The record is from RNAcentral.